AUUGAACGCUGGCGGCAUGCUUUACACAUGCAAGUCGAGCGGCAGCGCGGGGGCAACCCUGGCGGCGAGCGGCGAACGGGUGAGUAAUGCAUCGGAACGUAUCCUCGAGUGGGGGAUAACCCAGCGAAAGUUGGGCUAAUACCGCAUGAGCUCUGAGGAGGAAAGCGGGGGACCUGCGAGGGCCUCGCGCUGGAGGAGCGGCCGAUGUCCGAUUAGCUAGUUGGUGGGGUAAAGGCUUACCAAGGCGACGAUCGGUAGCUGGUCUGAGAGGAUGAUCAGCCACAAUGGGACUGAGACACGGCCCAGACUCCUACGGGAGGCAGCAGUGGGGAAUUUUGGACAAUGGGGGCAACCCUGAUCCAGCCAUGCCGCGUGAGUGAAGAAGGCCUUCGGGUUGUAAAGCUCUUUCGGACGGAACGAAAUGGGCGGGACUAAUACUCCUGUCUGAUGACGGUACCGUAAGAAGAAGCACCGGCUAACUACGUG
RNAcentral lists this ribosomal RNA (486 nucleotides) under uncultured bacterium. Its description in RNAcentral is "partial 16S ribosomal RNA". It matches the Rfam family "Bacterial small subunit ribosomal RNA", at positions 29 to 507 of the family's 1533-position model. The record is from RNAcentral.